This 157-nucleotide transfer RNA is filed under the name Cladophialophora carrionii. It matches the Rfam family "tRNA". From Rfam's summary of the family: Transfer RNA (tRNA) molecules are approximately 80 nucleotides in length. Lineage: Eukaryota; Fungi; Ascomycota; Eurotiomycetes; Chaetothyriales; Herpotrichiellaceae. The record is from Rfam by way of RNAcentral.
GUCAGUGUGGCCGAGUGGUUAAGGCGUGUGACUUGAAUUUGCCGCACCAGGCACCCCUGCUUAAAGGAGUUGAAAUGCUCUCCUGGGGGUGCCACCGGCGACGGCCUUUUGAGAUCACAUCUCUUCGGAGGCAUAGGUUCGAACCCUAUCGCUGACG